AUGAAAUGCAGGUGGUGCCCUGGGUUUCCUCAGGUCAGUGAUAUGUGGUUAGAUGCCAACCAUAGCUUUGAUGAUGACUCUACUAUCAUGGAUAAUGGUGACGUUAAUAGGAGGCUACCAGCUGUGAUCAAGUUUGAAAUUCAGCUUUACAAGACCAGGGAUGACAAGUACCUGCUAGAUAUGCAGAGAGUUACUGGACCUCAGCUCCUCUUCUUGGAAUUUUGUGCGGCCUUCCUUACCAACCUUAGGGUUCUAUAG
This 258-nucleotide ribosomal RNA is filed under the name Triticum aestivum (bread wheat). RNAcentral describes it as "partial small subunit ribosomal RNA". Lineage: Eukaryota; Viridiplantae; Streptophyta; Magnoliopsida; Poales; Poaceae. The record is from RNAcentral.